Molecule: ribosomal RNA, 548 nt
Filed under: uncultured Glomeromycotina
Lineage: Eukaryota; Fungi; Glomeromycota
Description: SSU rRNA
Rfam family: Eukaryotic small subunit ribosomal RNA
Source: RNAcentral
UUGGAGGGCAAGUCUGGUGCCAGCAGCCGCGGUAAUUCCAGCUCCAAUAGCGUAUAUUAAAGUUGUUGCAGUUAAAAAACUCGUAGUUGAAUUUCGGGGUUAGUAGGUUGGUCGUGCCUCAGGUAUGUACUGAUCUCACUGAUUCCUCCUUCCUGAUGAACCGUAAUGCCAUUAAUUUGGUGUUGCGGGGAAACUGGACUGUUACUUUGAAAAAAUUAGAGUGUUUAAAGCAGGCUAACGCUUGAAUACAUUAGCAUGGAAUAAUGAAAUAGGACGUUCGAUCCUAUUUUGUUGGUUUCUAGGAUUGACGUAAUGAUUAAUAGGGAUAGUUGGGGGCAUUAGUAUUCAAUUGUCAGAGGUGAAAUUCUUGGAUUUAUUGAAGACUAACUACUGCGAAAGCAUUUGCCAAGGAUGUUUUCAUUAAUCAAGAACGAAAGUUAGGGGAUCGAAGACGAUCAGAUACCGUCGUAGUCUUAACCAUAAACUAUGCCGACUAGGGAUCGGAUGAUGUUAAUUUUUUAAUGACUCAUUCGGCGCCUUACGGGAAA